Molecule: ribosomal RNA, 468 nt
Filed under: uncultured bacterium
Lineage: Bacteria
Description: partial 16S ribosomal RNA
Rfam family: Bacterial small subunit ribosomal RNA
Source: RNAcentral
GACGAACGCUGGCGGCGGGCUUAACACAUGCAAGUCGAACGGAAAGGCCCUGCUUUUGUGGGGUGCUCGAGUGGCGAACGGGUGAGUAACACGUGAGUAACCUGACCUAGACUUUGGGAUAACUUCAGGAAACUGGGGCUAAUACCGGAUAGGAGCUCCUGCUGGAUGGAGGGGGGGGGAAAGUUGCUGCGGGUGGGGAUGGACUCGCGGCUGAUCAGCUUGUUGGUGGGGUAGUGGCUUGCCAAGGCUUUGACGGGUAGCCGGCCUGGGAGGGUGACCGGGCACAAUGGGACUGAGAUACGGCCCAGACUCCAACGUGAGGCAGCAGGGGGGAAUAUUGCCCAAUGGGCGGAAGCCUGAUGCAGAAACGCCGCGUGCGGGAUGACGGCCUUCGGGGUGUAAACCGCUUUCGCCUGUGACGACGCGGGAGUGACGGUAAUGAGUAAAGAAGCACCGGCUAACUACGUG